This is a long non-coding RNA of Daphnia pulicaria, 1405 nucleotides long. RefSeq lists it as uncharacterized. The record is from RefSeq and is a predicted model, not a curated record. NCBI's taxonomy places the organism in Eukaryota, Metazoa, Arthropoda, Branchiopoda, Diplostraca, Daphniidae. The transcript has 8 exons.
CUAUGGCGGUCGAGACUUGGCCUACCACCAAAUGUCAGAAUUUGGUGACCGAAUUCAAUCAUCAAUAUGAUGACUAAAAUUUAUGGACAUCAUGAACUAACAGGAAAUAACCUUGCUGGAAUGGAUUUGGAGGAACAGAUUGAAUUAGUUUUCAAUAACAAUGAUGUAUCAAUCAAUGGAAUAAAACUUUCACUUGAUGAAGCUGCAGGCUUAGCGGCUUAGCUGCAGCAACUAAUAAGGGAAGUAGGAAACUGGGAAUCUGAAUGCUGUGAGUUUACCAGUUACCUCCCACAAACUUCCAUCGGCUGAAACUAUUGUGAAACCACAGCUGAAGUUCAACGACAGAAUAAUUGGACGAAUUGGGAGAUGACAAUGAGUUGGACCACCCCUACAAAUUUGAGUUCGAAUCUUUACACCAGAUCCAAAGUUCUUGACUGCACUUGAUUUAUUGCCUUCAUUUCCAAAUCUAGAAACCCAUUUAUUGAUGAGAGACACUGAAUAAGAUGGUUUAAAGUCUUUUUGAAGUUUUCCUUGCUGAAUCUGUGAUAGCUGUUGAUCUUGAGGCCCAUUUAUACAGAUCCUUUCAAGGCACAACAUGUUUGAUGCAAAUUUCAACUACCAAAACUGACUUCAUCAUUGAUACUUCAAAACUGUGGGAAUGGGAUCAACUACAGCUUUUGAAAGAAGUUUUCUGCAAUCUAAUGAUUGUCAAGAUUUUUCAUGGAGCCUAAUAUAGAAAUUCAGUGGCUUCAGCGUGAUUUCGGUAUUUACGUGGUCAAUCUGUUCGACACCUACCUCGCUGCAAAACGACUCGGCUUUGCCAAACUUUCAUUGUCCUUCCUCCUCAUCUGCCAAGUUAACGCUGACAAACGAUAGCCGACUGGCGUAUUCGUCCCUUGACCGAACAGAUGGCCCACUAGGCCACUAUGCUCGGCAAGACACUCUUGGUUAUGAAAUGAUGAAAAUGGAUUUGAAGAAGGUCCAACGGAAAAACCAUUACAACCAUAACUAAAGUCUACAGGAAAAAAUUUGCUGACAGAAGAUUGGCAAAUUAGCCGACUGGUUUGCUUCAAGCGCUACCGAAUUCCCCAAGUCACCACAACAGAUUAAGAACCAUCGACAAUCAUUCAGUACUCUCUUUUAAAUAACUAACUUUCUGAAAAAUUCAAGCUUACAAAAUACAAAGAUCUAUGGCAUGGAAUGCGUUUUAUUGUCCCAUCCUCCGCCCACACAUGCACCACUGUCUGAUAUGAAUUUAGAAAAAAAAAUUGUCUAAAAUUCUCAAAAACACAAAAAUACGUUGUCGAAAUUUAAAGGGGAAACGAAGGGAACACGGAGAAAAAUAAAGAGUUAAUUUAAAAAUGUGAGUUUGAGAAACGCCAAUAAGAAUUUUAUUGUUUGUUGG